Astatotilapia calliptera (eastern happy) is the source of this 649-nucleotide long non-coding RNA. Lineage: Eukaryota; Metazoa; Chordata; Actinopteri; Cichliformes; Cichlidae. The record is from Ensembl.
AGCCAGUUAAAUAUAUUUAUUUUUCACAGCAAAAAGCUCCGGUUUGAAUGAGAAGGCGGCAUUCUUCUUUCACUUUAACCCAAAUCUCAGCAUUGAUUAGAAGGAUCUAUACACAUGUUUUCAUUAUGUUUUUACUGUGUGGAUGAUAAAUGAACUACUGAUGGUGUAUACAGAUUACUGAAUGAGUGAAGAAAAGCUGAUGUGAGAAACAGCCUGUGUAGAUGUCAAUAACUCUGCUCUGUUAAGAAACUCUGAUUGCAGACGCCCCUUCUCUGGUGGAUCACUAUGACGAUGGUCUUCAAUCUGUCUGCUGGAAGUUUGGCUGUAAUAAACCAAAAGAAGCUUGCAGAACUUAUUGAACAGAUAAGCACAAGUAUCAAAGACAGGUACAACAUUGAAGAAAUGUAUGCAGUGGCCACAAGUGUUCCGAAGGAUGAAGACCAAGUUUCUUAUGACUUCACAAAGUCCAUGUGCCGAAAAGUGUGCAGAUCCAGAUGGAAAAUACAGGAUCACUGAUCAGCUCAGACGUCUCUUUAAUGGAUGUGAGUGGGGUGCAAAGGCGUUUGUAUUUAACGUUUUAUUCAGGCCACCUAGGCAGGACAUUAAUCCAGACAGGAUAAAUUUUGCCCUGACAAAUAUCGGAAUAGCC